Molecule: ribosomal RNA, 468 nt
Filed under: uncultured bacterium
Lineage: Bacteria
Description: partial 16S ribosomal RNA
Rfam family: Bacterial small subunit ribosomal RNA
Source: RNAcentral
GAUGGACGCUGGCGGCGUGCUUAACACAUGCAAGUCGAACGGUGAACCCGGAGCUUGCUCUGUGGGAUCAGUGGCGAACGGGUGAGUAACACGUGAGCAACCUGCCCCUGACUCUGGGAUAAGCGCUGGAAACGGCGUCUAAUACUGGAUAUGUGACGUGACCGCAUGGUCUGCGUUUGGAAAGAUUUUUCGGUUGGGGAUGGGCUCGCGGCCUAUCAGCUUGUUGGUGAGGUAAUGGCUCACCAAGGCGUCGACGGGUAGCCGGCCUGAGAGGGUGACCGGCCACACUGGGACUGAGACACGGCCCAGACUCCUACGGGAGGCAGCAGUGGGGAAUAUUGCACAAUGGGCGCAAGCCUGAUGCAGCAACGCCGCGUGAGGGAUGACGGCCUUCGGGUUGUAAACCUCUUUUAGCAGGGAAGAAGCGAAAGUGACGGUACCUGCAGAAAAAGCGCCGGCUAACUACGU